Asterias rubens (European starfish) is the source of this 513-nucleotide long non-coding RNA. RefSeq lists it as uncharacterized. Lineage: Eukaryota; Metazoa; Echinodermata; Asteroidea; Forcipulatida; Asteriidae. The record is from RefSeq and is a predicted model, not a curated record. The transcript is spliced from 4 exons.
AAUCACAUGCUUAAUGCAAAGUGGGGCUUAGUGUAAAAGUGUGCAAUAUAUCUUGGACCUUUUCAUUGUUGGACUGCCUAUGCUUGUUCCCUAGGAAUUCAGCAAUCUAAUAGAUUCAGCCUACUAAUGGGAGAUUACAAUGGGGGUGAAUGACAGCCAUGUUUUUGACGUUAUGACUGUAGCAUAUUCCUGGGAGGUCACGAGGUCACGGGGUUAGUGAGAGCAUGAGCUGAAGAGGCUUAAAGGGGAAGGAGCUUUGGGAAGUUUCAACGAUGAAUGCUGCUCGGAUUUUGGAGACAUCAUUAAAGGGGUGCUUACAGCACACUGUGGAGUAGGAUCUUUAAGUAUGUUUAACGCGGGCUCCCCCAUCACGCCGGAGAAACGUGUUCAAAGUGAAAGGCUAGUCUUCCACUUCUUCCACCGCAUCAGUCUCCGGCUGCAAUCCCAGACUACCGCGGUCACCACUCACUCGCCAGGAAGAUUUCCCGGGGUUUUCUGGCCCAAUAUGGCGGG